This is a non-coding RNA of Parasteatoda tepidariorum (common house spider), 311 nucleotides long. Lineage: Eukaryota; Metazoa; Arthropoda; Arachnida; Araneae; Theridiidae. The record is from RefSeq and is a predicted model, not a curated record.
AUGCUGUUUUAUUUAAAAGGAAAAUAUUUAUUUUACAGAGUUUUAUUGUUUGUGAUGCUCAUGACAAAAUGAAUUUAAUUUGGUCUUUUAUUAAAAGUCAUAAAAAACAAAAGAUUUUGGUAUUUAUGGCAAGUUGCAAGCAGGUGAAGUUCACUUAUGAAAGUAUUUGUCGUCUGAGACCAGGAGUUAGUAUAAUGGCAUUAUAUGGCAGUUUGCAUCAACUUAGAAGGAUGCAGAUUUAUGAUGAAUUCUGUAAAAAGAAUCAUGUUGUUAUGUUUGCAACAGAUGUCGCAUCUAGAGGAUUAGGUAUG